RNAcentral lists this ribosomal RNA (710 nucleotides) under uncultured bacterium. RNAcentral's name for it is "bacterial SSU rRNA". It matches the Rfam family "Bacterial small subunit ribosomal RNA", at positions 140 to 851 of the family's 1533-position model. The record is from RNAcentral.
UGGACAGCCUUCUGAAAGGAAGAUUAAUACAAGAUGGCAUCAUGAGUCCACAUGUUCACAUGAUUAAAGGUAUUCCGGUAGACGAUGGGGAUGCGUUCCAUUAGAUAGUAGGCGGGGUAACGGCCCACCUAGUCUUCGAUGGAUAGGGGUUCUGAGAGGAAGGUCCCCCACAUUGGAACUGAGACACGGUCCAAACUCCUACGGGAGGCAGCAGUGAGGAAUAUUGGUCAAUGGGCGAGAGCCUGAACCAGCCAAGUAGCGUGAAGGAUGACUGCCCUAUGGGUUGUAAACUUCUUUUAUAAAGGAAUAAAGUCGGGUAUGUAUACCCGUUUGCAUGUACUUUAUGAAUAAGGAUCGGCUAACUCCGUGCCAGCAGCCGCGGUAAUACGGAGGAUCCGAGCGUUAUCCGGAUUUAUUGGGUUUAAAGGGAGCGUAGAUGGAUGUUUAAGUCAGUUGUGAAAGUUUGCGGCUCAACCGUAAAAUUGCAGUUGAUACUGGAUAUCUUGAGUGCAGUUGAGGCAGGCGGAAUUCGUGGUGUAGCGGUGAAAUGCUUAGAUAUCACGAAGAACUCCGAUUGCGAAGGCAGCCUGCUAAGCUGCAACUGACAUUGAGGCUCGAAAGUGUGGGUAUCAAACAGGAUUAGAUACCCUGGUAGUCCACACGGUAAACGAUGAAUACUCGCUGUUUGCGAUAUACUGCAAGCGGCCAAG